GACGAACGCUGGCGGCGUGCUUAACACAUGCAAGUCGAACGGAAAGUCCCUGCUUUUGUGGGGUGCUCGAGUGGCGAACGGGUGAGUAACACGUGAGUAACCUGCCCUUUACUUUGGGAUAACUUCAGGAAACUGGGGCUAAUACCGGAUAGGAUCUCCUGCUGCAUGGUGUGGGUUGGAAUGUUUCGGCGGUUGGGGAUGGACUCGCGGCUUAUCAGCUUGUUGGUGGGGUAGUGGCUUUCCAAGGCUUUGACGGGUAGCCGGCAUGAGAGGGUGACCGGCCACAAUGGGACUGAGAAACGGCACAGACUCCUACGGGAGGCAGCAGUGGGGAAUAUUGCACAAUGGGCGGAAGCCUGAUGCAGAAACGCCGCGUGCGGGAUGACGGCCUUCGGGUUGUAAACCGAUUUCGAAUGUGAAGAAGAGUGAGUGACGGUAAUGGGUAAAGAAGCACCGGCUAACUACGUG
Molecule: ribosomal RNA, 468 nt
Filed under: uncultured bacterium
Lineage: Bacteria
Description: partial 16S ribosomal RNA
Rfam family: Bacterial small subunit ribosomal RNA
Source: RNAcentral